RNAcentral lists this ribosomal RNA (253 nucleotides) under uncultured bacterium. RNAcentral's name for it is "partial 16S ribosomal RNA". It matches the Rfam family "Bacterial small subunit ribosomal RNA", at positions 524 to 776 of the family's 1533-position model. The record is from RNAcentral.
UACGUAGGGGGCAAGCGUUGUCCGGAAUCAUUGGGCGUAAAGAGCGUGUAGGCGGCCAGAAAAGUCCGCUGUGAAAACUCGAGGCUCAACUUCGAGCUGUCGGUGGAAACUGUCUGGCUAGAGUCCGGAAGAGGAGAGUGGAAUUCCUGGUGUAGCGGUGAAAUGCGCAGAUAUCAGGAAGAACACCUAUGGCGAAGGCAGCUCUCUGGGACGGUACUGACGCUGAGACGCGAAAGCGUGGGGAGCGAACAGG